Molecule: ribosomal RNA, 406 nt
Filed under: uncultured bacterium
Lineage: Bacteria
Description: partial 16S ribosomal RNA
Rfam family: Bacterial small subunit ribosomal RNA
Source: RNAcentral
AUUGAACGCUGGCGGCAGGCCUAACACAUGCAAGUCGAACGAGUGGCGGACGGGUGAGUAAUGUCUGGGAAACUGCCCGAUGGAGGGGGAUAACUACUGGAAACGGUAGCUAAUACCGCAUACCAUCGGAUGUGCCCAGAUGGGAUUGGCUUGUAGGUGAGGUAACGGCUCACCUAGGCGACGAUCCCUAGCUGGUCGGCGAGGUGGAACAGCCACACUGGAAAGGAGACACGGUCCAGAAUCCUACGGGAGGCAGCAGUGGGGAUUAUUGGAAAAGGGGCGCAAGCCUGAUGAAGACAUGCCGCGUGUAGGAAGAAGGCCUUAGGGUUGUAAAGUACUUUCAGCGGGGAGGCGUUACCCGCAGAAGAAGCACCGGCUAACUCCGUGCCAGCCGCCGCGGUAAGUC